Molecule: long non-coding RNA, 1231 nt
Filed under: Equus caballus (horse)
Lineage: Eukaryota; Metazoa; Chordata; Mammalia; Perissodactyla; Equidae
Description: lncRNA (ENSECAG00000043819.1)
Source: RNAcentral
CUAUUCCGAGGAGUGAAAUCUUCCUUUAAAAACGUCUUUCAGAUCCAUGUACAAAAUCCUCCAUUGGUUCCCUUUUCACUCAGAAUAAAAGCCAAAGUCCUUUAGAUGGCCUGCGAGGCCCUCAGUGACCUGGCAACCUGCUUCCUCUUGCACCAUACCUCUCACUCUCUCCACCGUGCUCACUCGCCACAAGAUGCACGGGCUUCAUGUCGAUACCAGAACAAGCCAAACAGUUUCCUGUCUCACAACAUGUGCUCUUGCAUGGAAUACUCUUCCUCAAGAUAUCUGCUUGGCUUCCUCCCUCACCUUUCUGAUGUCUCUACUGAAAUAUCACUUCAUCAUAGAGGCCUGCUUUGUUGGCCUGGGUUUCCUCAAAAGCAGAGCCUGAGACAAAGGCUUGGAUGCAGGGAGUUUGGGGAGAAAUUGAUCUCAAGGAAAGAAGCCAGGGAGGAAGGUGACAAAGCUGAACCAAGUAUACGUUAGUAACCUGAUGGAUUUUGUGGGCAACCGGAGCUCAGUCCAUCUGCGUCCCUCUGGGGCUCAUGAAGGAUGCCCCCCAGAAUUGUCUACCCAGAUGAGGAAGAGCAUCCAGACUUCCAUUAGAGGGUCACUUCUCCCCUGCUGUGUGCGGUCUUGGUGACCCUAUAAAUCAAGACUUUGAGUCUUGAGAAAACGACGAAAGAACAAGGAAAACAGUUGGAAUGCAUGUUCACUGGCUGUGCCCUCCAAGACUGGGGAGAAGUUCCUGGUGCUUAAACCCUCAGAAACAGUCUCCAAUUAUGGCCCUUUAACCAGAAACAUUUGAAAAAUGAAUAAUGCGGAAGGUGCGAAGCUACAUAGAGGCUGAGUCUGCCUAAAAAUGUUGUUGUACCAUAGCACAGCAUUAAAGAAAACCAGAAAAACAAGUAGGUAGCUAGAGCCAAUUCAAAUUCUACACGGGAUCUAUCUAUCGUCCAAACAGUGGAAACACAUUUGGCAGGUAUCUCUCGUCGACCACACUACUGGAAAUCAGUAUCACAACCACAGGUGAAGAAAGUUUGUCUUCAAAGUUAAACAGCUUUUCUAAGACACACAACCAAUAAGUGGUUUAGCCACUAGUGGAACCUUAGACCAGGCCUGAAUCACAGCUGUAUGACCUCAACCAAUUGAUGAAAAACAGAGGAGAGAAAAGAGGAAAAGAUGUGGAGGAGAUUCGCCUUAGAAGCUGGCAAUACCAUGAUUUAGAUGAACA